RNAcentral lists this ribosomal RNA (1434 nucleotides) under uncultured organism. RNAcentral's name for it is "SSU rRNA". It matches the Rfam family "Bacterial small subunit ribosomal RNA". The record is from RNAcentral.
CAGGCUUAACACAUGCAAGUCGAGGGGCAGCAUGGUCUUAGCUUGCUAAGGCCGAUGGCGACCGGCGCACGGGUGAGUAACACGUAUCCAACCUGCCGUCUACUCUUGGACAGCCUUCUGAAAGGAAGAUUAAUACAAGAUGGCAUCAUGAGUCCGCAUGUUCACAUGAUUAAAGGUAUUCCGGUAGACGAUGGGGAUGCGUUCCAUUAGAUAGUAGGCGGGGUAACGGCCCACCUAGUCUUCGAUGGAUAGGGGUUCUGAGAGGAAGGUCCCCCACAUUGGAACUGAGACACGGUCCAAACUCCUACGGGAGGCAGCAGUGAGGAAUAUUGGUCAAUGGGCGAGAGCCUGAACCAGCCAAGUAGCGUGAAGGAUGACUGCCCUAUGGGUUGUAAACUUCUUUUAUAAAGGAAUAAAGUCGGGUAUGCAUACCCGUUUGCAUGUACUUUAUGAAUAAGGAUCGGCUAACUCCGUGCCAGCAGCCGCGGUAAUACGGAGGAUCCGAGCGUUAUCCGGAUUUAUUGGGUUUAAAGGGAGCGUAGAUGGAUGUUUAAGUCAGUUGUGAAAGUUUGCGGCUCAACCGUAAAAUUGCAGUUGAUACUGGAUAUCUUGAGUGCAGUUGAGGCAGGCGGAAUUCGUGGUGUAGCGGUGAAAUGCUUAGAUAUCACGAAGAACUCCGAUUGCGAAGGCAGCCUGCUAAGCUGCAACUGACAUUGAGGCUCGAAAGUGUGGGUAUCAAACAGGAUUAGAUACCCUGGUAGUCCACACGGUAAACGAUGAAUACUCGCUGUUUGCGAUAUACAGCAAGCGGCCAAGCGAAAGCGUUAAGUAUUCCACCUGGGGAGUACGCCGGCAACGGUGAAACUCAAAGGAAUUGACGGGGCCCGCACAAGCGGAGGAACAUGUGGUUUAAUUCGAUGAUACGCGAGGAACCUUACCCGGGCUUAAAUUGCAGAUGAAUUACGGUGAAAGCCGUAAGCCGCAAGGCAUCUGUGAAGGUGCUGCAUGGUUGUCGUCAGCUCGUGCCGUGAGGUGUCGGCUUAAGUGCCAUAACGAGCGCAACCCUUGUUGUCAGUUACUAACAGGUUCCGCUGAGGACUCUGACAAGACUGCCAUCGUAAGAUGUGAGGAAGGUGGGGAUGACGUCAAAUCAGCACGGCCCUUACGUCCGGGGCUACACACGUGUUACAAUGGGGGGUACAGAGGGCCGCUACCACGCGAGUGGAUGCCAAUCCCAAAAACCUCUCUCAGUUCGGACUGGAGUCUGCAACCCGACUCCACGAAGCUGGAUUCGCUAGUAAUCGCGCAUCAGCCACGGCGCGGUGAAUACGUUCCCGGGCCUUGUACACACCGCCCGUCAAGCCAUGGGAGCCGGGGGUACCUGAAGUGCGUAACCGCGAGGAGCGCCCUAGGGUAAAACUGGUGACUGGGGCU